Coregonus clupeaformis (lake whitefish) is the source of this 2044-nucleotide long non-coding RNA. RefSeq lists it as uncharacterized. NCBI's taxonomy places the organism in Eukaryota, Metazoa, Chordata, Actinopteri, Salmoniformes, Salmonidae. The record is from RefSeq and is a predicted model, not a curated record. The transcript has 2 exons.
GCUGAAAUAGCCAAAUCCACUAAUUUGAAGGGGUGUCCACAUACUUUUGGCCAUGUAGUGUAUAUCAGAGCUGCUGUACUGAUUUGAAAGCAUCAUUUAUAUACUCCAGUUGAGUUUUGUAUGGAUAUGAAAUGACUAUAUAUAUAUUAUGUAUUGACAUGUUUGAGCAGAUUAAACUGAUGUGGCUGAUUUGACAGGUCACCUUUCUUGUGGUGUCGUCUCUCUCUCUCAUGCGCACCCCGCACACACACACACACACGCGCACACACACACACACACGCACACGCACACGCACACACACGCACACACACACACACAGGAGAGGAGUGCAUUUUUCAGUUUCCAUGAUCUUUAAUAAAAGGCACAUGUACAGCCAUAAUGAGAUGAGUCAGCGAGUCUAUUGGCAUAGAGACAAAAAGCGUUAAAACACAGAAAUACAAGACCUAGAUAGGCCUGGAGGAGUCAGAUCUAUAGAAAUACUCAACCUAUAUAGGUCAGGAGAGACAGAGCUAUCACAGUAGAUUCUACUUUUUAGUAACGUCGUCAUCUCAGCAUCAUUCAAGUAAGUCUAACACUCUAAACACGUCACCAUAGUAACGCACCAGACCCACCCCCCCUCCCCGCACUCACACACACACACACACACAAGGUCCAUCCAGGGUUCUCCCCAUUUAGAACCGGAGUCGUGAGCUAGGUCUAGAUUAGAACCGGAGCCGUGAGCUAGGUCUAGAUUAGAACCGGAGCCGUGAGCUAGGUCUAGAUUAGAACCGGAGCCGUGAGCUAGGUCUAGAUUAGAACCGGAGCCGUGAGCUAGGUCUAGAUUAGAACCGGAGCCGUGAGCUAGGUCUAGAUUAGAACCGGAGCCGUGAGCUAGGUCUAGAUUAGAACCGGAGCCGUGAGCUAGGUCUAGAUUAGAACCGGAGCCGUGAGCUAGGUCUAGAUUAGAACCGGAGCUGUGAGCUAGGUCUAGAUUAGAACCGGAGCCGUGAGCUAGGUCUAGAUUAGAACCGGAGCCGUGAGCUAGGUCUAGAUUAGAACCGGAGCCGUGAGCUAGGUCUAGAUUAGAACCGGAGCCGUGAGCUAGGUCUAGAUUAGAACCGGAGCCGUGAGCUAGGUUUAGAUACAAUCAGAUCAAGCGUUAACCGGCGAUAGAAGACACCUGUAUAGCGGGAUGUUGCGGUGUCGGAGGUGGAACUGUGUUCCAGCCGUCAAAUCGCUGAGCAGCUGCUCUUGCGAUCAUUGUCACUUAAGACACACCUGACCCACUCGUGGCAGAAGUUCAGAACGAGAAAGUGUAGGCUAUAUAGAAAUAUUUACGCUCAAAUUGAAAAAUCAUUAUAAACGAAUAAUGAGGAUUUCUUUCAUCCUAAUUGAUGUUUAGAUUACAUCUCCCAUUCCAGUGUUGAACUUGUAAACAAGGCUGCAUGGGAUUUCUGUUAAUGUGACUCCGUGCAGCCAAUGGCAAUGUCUGCUUUACUUGUGGAUUUGACUGCCAAAACAACCACUAUGCAGAUGUUGGUUAAAGUGGAUCUGAUUGAAUCGAGCCCUUAGUCCUUUAAAACAGUGUUGAGCCGGUGGACCGUUCAGGUUCUCUUCUCUCUUUCGGAGGUGAACCACCCUUAUCUGAGAUUUGAAGGCUUGGGGUACUUCCCCAAGAUAAUGCCUAGGCUUUAGCUUAGAGGACUAACAUGGUCUUGUGGCAAGCAGACAAACCGGAUUCAAACACAGUCUGUCACACUAGCUGGGGUUCCCUUCAGGUCCGUUUCAGGGUUCUCCGGUUCUAGCAGGUCUCUAGUACAGCCCAACCAGAGAAGAGGGAGGAGUCCACACACACACACACACACUGACGUUUGUUUCUGAGCAGGCCUAAGACGUCUUUCGAUUGUGUUUGUGUGCGUUUGCGUUUGUGUGUGUGUGUGUGUGUGUGUGUUUGCGUUUGCGUUUGCGUUUGUGUGUGUGUGUGUGUGGCCAUGCAAGUGUCUGUUUAUAGGGAUGUGUUCACUAGGGCCCCAAAUUAAUCUGUCUCAAAACACAAACGCACACA